UACAGAGGGUGCGAGCGUUGUUCGGAAUUAUUGGGCGUAAAGGGCGCGUAGGCGGUGCGGUAAGUCACUUGUGAAAUCUCCUGGCUCAACUGGGAGCUUGCAGGCGAAACUGCCGUGCUGGAGUGUGGGAGAGGUGCGUGGAAUUCCCGGUGUAGCGGUGAAAUGCGUAGAUAUCGGGGAGGAACACCGGGUGGCGAAGGCGGCCAUCUGGACCGGUUCUGACGCUGAGGCGCGAAAGCGUGGGGAGCAAACAGG
Molecule: ribosomal RNA, 255 nt
Filed under: uncultured bacterium
Lineage: Bacteria
Description: partial 16S ribosomal RNA
Rfam family: Bacterial small subunit ribosomal RNA
Source: RNAcentral